Molecule: ribosomal RNA, 406 nt
Filed under: uncultured bacterium
Lineage: Bacteria
Description: partial 16S ribosomal RNA
Rfam family: Bacterial small subunit ribosomal RNA
Source: RNAcentral
AUUGAACGCUGGCGGCAGGCCUAACACAUGCAAGUCGAACGAGUGGCGGACGGGUGAGUAAUGUAUGGGAAAAUGACUGAUGGAGGGGGAUAACUACUGGAAACGGUAGCUAAUACCACAUACCAUCGGAUGUGCCCAGGGGGGUUUAGCUAGUAGGUGGGGUAACGGCUCACCUAGGCGACGGUCCCUAACUGGUCUGAGAGGAUGACCAGGCAAACUGGAACGGUGACACGGUCCAGACUCCUACGGGAGGCAGCAGUGGGGAAUAGUGCACAAGGGGCGCAAGCCUGAUGCAGCCAUGCCGCGUGUAUGAAGAAGGCCUUCGGGUUGUAAAGUACGUUCAGCGGGGAGGCGUUACCCGCAGAAGAAGCACCGGCUAACUCCGUGCCAGCCGCCGCGGUAAUAC